This 1294-nucleotide ribosomal RNA is filed under the name Cellulomonas sp. Eb1. Its description in RNAcentral is "bacterial SSU rRNA". It matches the Rfam family "Bacterial small subunit ribosomal RNA", at positions 102 to 1409 of the family's 1533-position model. The record is from RNAcentral. Lineage: Bacteria; Bacillati; Actinomycetota; Actinomycetes; Micrococcales; Cellulomonadaceae.
ACGGGUGAGUAACACGUGAGCAACCUGCCCUUGACUCUGGGAUAACCACGGGAAACGGUGGCUAAUACCGGAUAUGAGACGCACAGGCAUCUGUCGCGUCUGGAAAGAUUUAUCGGUCAAGGAUGGGCUCGCGGCCUAUCAGCUUGUUGGUGGGGUAAUGGCCUACCAAGGCGACGACGGGUAGCCGGCCUGAGAGGGCGACCGGCCACACUGGGACUGAGACACGGCCCAGACUCCUACGGGAGGCAGCAGUGGGGAAUAUUGCACAAUGGGCGCAAGCCUGAUGCAGCGACGCCGCGUGAGGGAUGACGGCCUUCGGGUUGUAAACCUCUUUCAGCAGGGAAGAAGCGCAAGUGACGGUACCUGCAGAAGAAGCGCCGGCUAACUACGUGCCAGCAGCCGCGGUAAUACGUAGGGCGCAAGCGUUGUCCGGAAUUAUUGGGCGUAAAGAGCUCGUAGGCGGUUUGUCGCGUCUGCUGUGAAAACCUGAGGCUCAACCUCGGGCUUGCAGUGGGUACGGGCAGACUAGAGUGCGGUAGGGGUGACUGGAAUUCCUGGUGUAGCGGUGGAAUGCGCAGAUAUCAGGAGGAACACCGAUGGCGAAGGCAGGUCACUGGGCCGCAACUGACGCUGAGGAGCGAAAGCAUGGGGAGCGAACAGGAUUAGAUACCCUGGUAGUCCAUGCCGUAAACGUUGGGCACUAGGUGUGGGGCUCAUUCCACGAGUUCCGUGCCGCAGCAAACGCAUUAAGUGCCCCGCCUGGGGAGUACGGCCGCAAGGCUAAAACUCAAAGAAAUUGACGGGGGCCCGCACAAGCGGCGGAGCAUGCGGAUUAAUUCGAUGCAACGCGAAGAACCUUACCAAGGCUUGACAUACACCGGAAAAGUGCAGAGAUGUGCUCCCCGUAAGGUCGGUGUACAGGUGGUGCAUGGUUGUCGUCAGCUCGUGUCGUGAGAUGUUGGGUUAAGUCCCGCAACGAGCGCAACCCUCGUCCCAUGUUGCCAGCGGGUUAUGCCGGGGACUCAUGGGAGACUGCCGGGGUCAACUCGGAGGAAGGUGGGGAUGACGUCAAAUCAUCAUGCCCCUUAUGUCUUGGGCUUCACGCAUGCUACAAUGGCCGGUACAAAGGGCUGCGAUACCGCGAGGUGGAGCGAAUCCCAAAAAGCCGGUCUCAGUUCGGAUUGGGGUCUGCAACUCGACCCCAUGAAGUCGGAGUCGCUAGUAAUCGCAGAUCAGCAACGCUGCGGUGAAUACGUUCCCGGGCCUUGUACACACCGCCCGUCAAGUCACGAAA